GAUGAACGCUGGCGGCGUGCCUAAUACAUGCAAGUCGAGCGAACGGACGAGAAGCUUGCUUCUCUGAUGUUAGCGGCGGACGGGUGAGUAACACGUGGAUAACCUACCUAUACGACUGGGAUAACUUCGGGAAACCGGAGCUAAUACCGGAUAAUAUUUUGAACCGCAUGGUUCAAAAGUGAAAGACGGUCUUGCUGUCACUUAUAGAUGGAUCCGCGCUGCAUUAGCUAGUUGGUAAGGUAACGGCUUACCAAGGCAACGAUGCAUAGCCGACCUGAGAGGGUGAUCGGCCACACUGGAACUGAGACACGGUCCAGACUCCUACGGGAGGCAGCAGUAGGGAAUCUUCCGCAAUGGGCGAAAGCCUGACGGAGCAACGCCGCGUGAGUGAUGAAGUUCUUCGGAUCGUAAAACUCUGUUAUUAGGGAAGAACAUAUGUGUAAGUAACUGUGCACAUCUUGACGGUACCUCAUCAGAAAGCCACGGCUAACUACGUG
RNAcentral lists this ribosomal RNA (497 nucleotides) under uncultured bacterium. RNAcentral describes it as "partial 16S ribosomal RNA". It matches the Rfam family "Bacterial small subunit ribosomal RNA", at positions 28 to 507 of the family's 1533-position model. The record is from RNAcentral.